UUCGCACACUGGCGCAGUUGAUCCAAGCGUUCGCUGCCUUCCCCGCCAGCCAGUCUCGCUUUGAGCGCCAACACGUGUGCAUGUGUCGCUGAAUUAUAAUUCCAAGCUUGUUUACAAAUAGAAGGUGAACUCACGUUGUUACCAGGAUAACCGUGACAGAACACAACAAUGGAAAGCUGGCUAGACGAUAUAAAGCGUGUCAAAAUUCCGCGGCCGAAGUUCGCCACCAAGUACCCGGUUGAACCGCCCAAAGAUUACUUAGAGGACAGCGAUCUAAGUGGGAAGCCGCGACGACAUGACAAAGACUUAACAAAGGCCACGGAAGAAUUGCGUAGGACGUUACAAGAGAAACUAUGACCUGUCACAGCGGACCUAGGAUUAAUUUAACUUUAUGUUGCCGCUCGGCAUAACGAAACCCACGCGCAGUGCACUUCUUUAGUAUAUAUUUAAUUUGUUUGCAAUUAUGGAGCACUUUGAAAGGGCAAGUACGUAAAGAAGGUAAAUGUAUUAUUGGAUCAUCAAAAUUGCCCAAAAUAUUGUUAAAAUUUGAUUAUGAUAAAGAGGCCAGAAUGGAAACAAUUACAGUCAAGACUUGAAGUGCCUAAAUGAUAUAGAGAGUACAAUAAAAAAAAUCGGUAAAUUGACAAAAUGUAUCGAAAACCACAAUUCAUAAACAGCGAAUAAUAUAAAUAUACCACGAUAACAUUUUCUAAUGAGGCAUUCAAUUAAUUUCUGUCACAGUAAAAGUUUACAUGAUCCCUUUAUUUAUUGCAUUGAUUUGAUUAAAAUAAAUAAUUUCACUUUAACAGUGUAUUAGGAGAAAUAUUUCAAAAUAUACCUUUAUGUGAAAUUCAUAGGUUCGGUUUGUAGCCUGUUACUGAAUUUUAAUUAUAUUGUAAGUAACAAUGCAACAUAAGCAUCAGUAUUAAUUGUAGACGAACAAUGUACAGUUAGUAAUCAUUUACAAUAAGAGCAUUGACUAUUUUCUUUACAAAGUAAAAUAACGCUUUUCCAAAGGACAGUUCAAGGAGACAUCCAUUAAUCCUUUAUUGUACUAACUCAAUUUGCUAUGCAAUUUAUUAGCUGACUGUAUAUUGUUAUUUAGAUUUAAUCUAUUAUGUAAUGCUAUUAGCUUCUACUAGUUUUAUUAUAUUAGACUGAUAUUAAGUUAGAUUAAUGGAGGUUGAAUCUCUGCGAGUAUCAAAUACUGUUACGAUUAAAUAUAUUAAUUGUUUUUAA
Long non-coding RNA from Manduca sexta (tobacco hornworm), 1239 nucleotides. RefSeq lists it as uncharacterized. NCBI's taxonomy places the organism in Eukaryota, Metazoa, Arthropoda, Insecta, Lepidoptera, Sphingidae. The record is from RefSeq and is a predicted model, not a curated record. The transcript is spliced from 2 exons.